GACGAACGCUGGCGGCGUGCUUAACACAUGCAAGUCGAACGAUGAAGAAGAGCUUGCUCUUCGGAUUAGUGGCGAACGGGUGAGUAACACGUGACUAACCUGCCCCUUUCUCUGGGAUAACGCUCCGAAAGGAGUGCUAAUACCGGAUACUCACAUCGAGGCACAUGCCUUGAUGUGGAAAGUUUUUCGGAAAGGGAUGGAGUCGCGGCCUAUCAGCUUGUUGGUGAGGUAACGGCUCACCAAGGGGACGACGGGUAGCCGGCCUGAGAGGGCGACCGGCCACACUGGGACUGAGACACGGCCCAGACUCCUACGGGAGGCAGCAGUGGGGAAUAUUGCACAAUGGGCGAAAGCCUGAUGCAGCGACGCCGCGUGAGGGAUGAAGGUCUUCGGAUUGUAAACCUCUUUCAGUAGGGACGAAGCGAAAGUGACGGUACCUAAAGAAGAAGCACCGGCCAACUACGUGCCAGCAGCCGCCGUAA
RNAcentral lists this ribosomal RNA (482 nucleotides) under uncultured bacterium. Its description in RNAcentral is "partial 16S ribosomal RNA". It matches the Rfam family "Bacterial small subunit ribosomal RNA", at positions 28 to 523 of the family's 1533-position model. The record is from RNAcentral.